Molecule: ribosomal RNA, 253 nt
Filed under: uncultured bacterium
Lineage: Bacteria
Description: partial 16S ribosomal RNA
Rfam family: Bacterial small subunit ribosomal RNA
Source: RNAcentral
UACGUAGGGACCGAGCGUUGUCCGGAAUCAUUGGGCGUAAAGAGCGUGUAGGCGGCCACUUAAGUCCUGCGUGAAAUCUUGCGGCUCAACCGCAAGCGGUCGUGGGAAACUGGGUGGCUAGAGUGCGGGAGAGGAGAGUGGAAUUCCUGGUGUAGCGGUGGAAUGCGCAGAUAUCAGGAAGAACACCCGUGGCGAAGGCGGCUCUCUGGACCAUAACUGACGCUGAUGCACGAAAGCUAGGGGAGCAAACAGG